This 781-nucleotide ribosomal RNA is filed under the name uncultured marine bacterium. Its description in RNAcentral is "bacterial SSU rRNA". It matches the Rfam family "Bacterial small subunit ribosomal RNA", at positions 14 to 794 of the family's 1533-position model. The record is from RNAcentral.
UGAUCCUGGCUCAGAUUGAACGCUGGCGGCAGGCCUAACACAUGCAAGUCGAACGGUAACAGGAUAGCUUGCUAUCGCUGACGAGUGGCGGACGGGUGAGUAAUACUUAGGGAUCUGCCUCUGUGUGGGGGAUAACUAUUGGAAACGAUAGCUAAUACCGCAUAAUGUCUACGGACCAAAGCGGGCUUCGGCUCGUGCGCAGAGAGGAACCUAAGCGAGAUUAGCUAGUUGGUGAGGUAAAGGCUCACCAAGGCGACGAUCUCUAGCUGUUCUGAGAGGAAGAUCAGCCACACUGGAACUGAGACACGGUCCAGACUCCUACGGGAGGCAGCAGUGGGGAAUAUUGCACAAUGGGGGAAACCCUGAUGCAGCCAUGCCGCGUGUGUGAAGAAGGCCUUCGGGUUGUAAAGCACUUUCAGUUGUGAGGAAAGUUUAGUAGUUAAUACCUGCUAGAUGUGACGUUAGCAACAGAAGAAGCACCGGCUAACUCCGUGCCAGCAGCCGCGGUAAUACGGAGGGUGCGAGCGUUAAUCGGAAUUACUGGGCGUAAAGCGCACGCAGGCGGUCUGUUAAGCUAGAUGUGAAAGCCCCGCGCUCAACGUGGGAGGGUCAUUUAGAACUGGCAGACUAGAGUCUUGGAGAGGGGAGUGGAAUUCCAGGUGUAGCGGUGAAAUGCGUAGAGAUCUGGAGGAACAUCAAUGGCGAAGGCAACUCCCUGGCCAAAGACUGACGCACAUGUGCGAAAGUGUGGGUAGCGAACAGGAUUAGAUACCCUGGUAGU